This 652-nucleotide long non-coding RNA is filed under the name Monodelphis domestica (gray short-tailed opossum). RNAcentral's name for it is "lncRNA (ENSMODG00000031346.2)". The record is from RNAcentral. Lineage: Eukaryota; Metazoa; Chordata; Mammalia; Didelphimorphia; Didelphidae.
AUGGACAAAGAUGAAGAAACUGAAGUUCAGAGAUGGUCAGUUAUUUGCUUCAGGUUUUAUAUUUUGAACCCAAAUUUACUGACUUCAAAUCUAGUCCUCUUUACAUGUGACAGUGCUGAAAGCCAAGGAAAGCAUUUUUUAAAUCCUUUUUCAAGACCUUUGUCCCUCCUUGAAAUUUUGAUGAUAUACUUUGUCUCUAUCUCCUAAAGUAGAUCAUUCCAAAGGAACUUUCCCACGAAUCUUUCCUAAUCAAUCAAACAAGAACAUCAUCAUAUAGUAGCUUUUCUGAUGACCAAAGCAUGCCCAAAAGGAAGAAAAUCAUCAUCUAAUUCCAAAACAAACAAACAAAAAACUCUGAAAAGUUCUAAAUUGUGUGAUAAUUCAUUCUCAUGUCAGAUACUCUAAAGAAAGAAGAAAAUGUGAUAAAUUAAUCCAGACUAAUGAGAAAAGAUUGUAAUGAGAAUGGAGAAGAGCAUUUUGUUAAUCCAUUCUUAAAAUAAUCCUCAAAGAAUGUUGUGGUCCUUUCUGGAUGCCAUAUCUUGAGAUAUGACAAGGCUUUCUUUUUUUUUUUAAUCCUACAACUCCUGAUUACAGAAAAGCAAUUAUGAGAAAAUGUAAUAAAGCAGCAGGUGAUGCUGAAUAGAAUGGAGAA